Molecule: transfer RNA, 72 nt
Organism: Camelus ferus (Wild Bactrian camel)
Lineage: Eukaryota; Metazoa; Chordata; Mammalia; Artiodactyla; Camelidae
Rfam family: tRNA
About the family: Transfer RNA (tRNA) molecules are approximately 80 nucleotides in length. Their secondary structure includes four short double-helical elements and three loops (D, anti-codon, and T loops).
Source: Rfam
AGCGGUAUAGCUCAGUAGUAGAGCGUGUGCUUAGCAUGCACGAGGUCCUGGGUUCAAUCCCCAUCACUUCCA